GGCCGAGUGGCGGAAUUGGCAGACGCUCAGGAUUUAAAAUCCUGUGUCCGUUAGGACGUGCGGGUUCGAGUCCCGCCUCGGCUACCA
Molecule: transfer RNA, 87 nt
Filed under: Rhodopirellula sp.
Lineage: Bacteria; Pseudomonadati; Planctomycetota; Planctomycetia; Pirellulales; Pirellulaceae
Also listed under: 2 other names
Description: tRNA-Leu
Rfam family: tRNA
About the family: Transfer RNA (tRNA) molecules are approximately 80 nucleotides in length. Their secondary structure includes four short double-helical elements and three loops (D, anti-codon, and T loops). Further hydrogen bonds mediate the characteristic L-shaped molecular structure. tRNAs have two regions of fundamental functional importance: the anti-codon, which is responsible for specific mRNA codon recognition, and the 3' end, to which the tRNAs corresponding amino acid is attached (by aminoacyl-tRNA synthetases). tRNAs cope with the degeneracy of the genetic code in two manners: having more than one tRNA (with a specific anti-codon) for a particular amino acid; and 'wobble' base-pairing, i.e. permitting non-standard base-pairing at the 3rd anti-codon position.
Source: RNAcentral